GACGAACGCUGGCGGCGUGCCUAAUACAUGCAAGUUGAGCGCUGAAGGUUGGUACUUGUACCAACUGGAUGAGCAGCGAACGGGUGAGUAACGCGUGGGGAAUCUGCCUUUGAGCGGGGGACAACAUUUGGAAACGAAUGCUAAUACCGCAUAAAAACUUUAAACACAAGUUUUAAGUUUGAAAGAUGCAAUUGCAUCACUCAAAGAUGAUCCCGCGUUGUAUUAGCUAGUUGGUGAGGUAAAGGCUCACCGAGGCGAUGAUACAUAGCCGACCUGAGAGGGUGAUCGGCCACAUUGGGACUGAGACACGGCCCAAACUCCUACGGGAGGCAGCAGUAGGGAAUCUUCGGCAAUGGACGAAAGUCUGACCGAGCAACGCCGCGUGAGUGAAGAAGGUUUUCGGAUCGGAAAACUCUGUUGGUAGAGAAGAACGUUGGUGAGAGUGGAAAGCUCAUCAAGUGACGGUAACUACCCAGAAAGGGACGGCUAACUACGUG
RNAcentral lists this ribosomal RNA (497 nucleotides) under uncultured bacterium. RNAcentral describes it as "partial 16S ribosomal RNA". It matches the Rfam family "Bacterial small subunit ribosomal RNA", at positions 28 to 507 of the family's 1533-position model. The record is from RNAcentral.